The submitters of this non-coding RNA (83 nucleotides) gave its source as unclassified sequences. The record is from Rfam.
UUUCAUGGUGGCUGUGCGCGGGAGACCUUCGGGUCUGCCGGUUCCAUUCCCGGUUCGCCAACCUGCGUACAGCUGCCACCCAA